CUCCUAUUCGUACAUCUUCCGAGCUUACCAUAUCUCACUAAUCUAAGUGGUUUAUACCUGUUAUAUUGCUUGUGUAGUUGCUGUACGGAAUGUUUCUUGUGCACCCUGUCUGUAUUUGAUAUAUUUAUCUGUAGUGAGUAUCUAAUGGUACGUUGGCUAGACGAGGAGUCUUAUUGAAACCACAGUCAGAUUUUCAUCAUGUGUCCUCUUGAUGCCCUAUUCACAAACUGACACUUUCGUGGCUGAAAUCUAUAAAUGUAUAGACCUCUUCUGAUCCCAUGCUGCUCUGCUUUCUGUCUACACAUCAGUUUGGCUGUGAUGAAUUCAGACCAAACAUGCUCAAUAGAGUAUUUUGCACAAACUUACUCAGACUUCCUGCACUAUUUAACCCCAGAAUCUUACUGAAUGUACACAUACAUUGUAAGACGGGGUUUGUUUUGUUCAUGGUUUUACAUUUGAUUACUUUUUGAUAUAGCCAUAGCCAGUGCAGGCAUAGGCAGAGGUUGGGGAAGCAUUGUCUAGCUGCCAAGUUCUCAAAGUAACUGGUAUUUGUAGAGGCAGAUAAAUCGGUUUGAUGCGAUACCUGCUCUCAAGGUAACCAAUAUGCAGGCUGCCUGGGUAUUACAUGUAUAUUGACAUGGGCUCUAGACACACAAUUAACCAAUACUUUUUAGGGCUUACGUCUGUUCUCUCUCUCUCUAAUGAUAGUUUCUUGGCCUAGUAGGAAAGGCUAUUUUGAAAUCCCUGUUGUGGUAAGUGAAGGCUUUAGAGAGAAUCUUGUCAUUUGUAAUGCUGUUG
This is a non-coding RNA of Pelobates cultripes (western spadefoot toad), 798 nucleotides long. NCBI's taxonomy places the organism in Eukaryota, Metazoa, Chordata, Amphibia, Anura, Pelobatidae. The record is from the annotation of a GenBank genome assembly.